GACGAACGCUGGCGGCGUGCUUAACACAUGCAAGUCGAACGGUGAAGCUCCAGCUUGCUGGAGUGGAUCAGUGGCGAACGGGUGAGUAACACGUGAGCAACCUGCCCCUGACUCUGGGAUAAGCGCUGGAAACGGCGUCUAAUACUGGAUACGAGAAGGGUCCGCAUGGGCACUUUCUGGAAAGUUUUUCGGUUGGGGAUGGGCUCGCGGCCUAUCAGCUUGUUGGUGAGGUAGUGGCUCACCAAGGCGACGACGGGUAGCCGGCCUGAGAGGGCGACCGGCCACACUGGGACUGAGAGACGGCCCAGACUCCUACGGGAGGCAGCAGUGGGGAAUAUUGCACAAUGGGCGAAAGCCUGAUGCAGCGACGCCGCGUGAGGGAUGACGGCCUUCGGGUUGUAAACCUCUUUCAGCAGGGAAGAAGCGAAAGUGACGGUACCUGCAGAAGAAGCACCGGCUAACUACGUG
This 468-nucleotide ribosomal RNA is filed under the name uncultured bacterium. Its description in RNAcentral is "partial 16S ribosomal RNA". It matches the Rfam family "Bacterial small subunit ribosomal RNA", at positions 28 to 507 of the family's 1533-position model. The record is from RNAcentral.